Molecule: ribosomal RNA, 576 nt
Filed under: uncultured eukaryote
Lineage: Eukaryota
Description: SSU rRNA
Rfam family: Eukaryotic small subunit ribosomal RNA
Source: RNAcentral
UAUUUAUUAGAUAACAGACCAAUAUUCCUCGUGUCUAUUGUGGUGACUCAUAGUAACUGAUCGGAUCGCAUGGCCUUGUGCCGCGACUAACCAUUCAAGUUUCUGACCCAUCAGCUUUCGAUGGUAGUGUAUUGGACUACCAUGGCUUUCACGGGUAACGGAGGAUUAGGGUUCGAUUCCGGAGAGGGAGCCUGAGAAACGGCUACCACAUCUAAGGAAGGCAGCAGGCGCGUAAAUUACCCAAUCCUGACUCAGGGAGGCAGUGACAAGAAAUAACGGGUCGGGGCAUUCGCCUCGGGAUUGCAAUGAAUCGAAUUUACACCCCUUAAUGAGGAUCAAUUGGAGGGCAAGUCUGGUGCCAGCAGCCGCGGUAAUUCCAGCUCCAAUAGCGUAUAUUAAAGUUGUUGCAGUUAAAAAGCUCGUAGUUUGAUUUCUGGACGGGCGCCAACACCCGCUUGUUUAGUGUGGAGGCGGCGCCCGCCCAUCCUUCUGUUAACGCCACCGGCAUUCGUUUGCUGGCGGCGGGCUCAGAUAUUUUACCUUGAGAAAAUUAGAGUGUUUCAGGCAGGCUUGCGC